CAGCCGCCACGGUAAUACGAAGGGUGCAAGCGUUAAUCGGAAUUACUGGGCGUAAAGCGUGCGUAGGCGGUGAGUUAAGUCUGCUGUGAAAUCCCCGGGCUCAACCUGGGAAUGGCAGUGGAUACUGGCUCGCUAGAGUGUGGGAGAGGAUGGUAGAAUUCCAGGUGUAGCGGUGAAAUGCGUAGAGAUCUGGAGGAAUACCGAUGGCGAAGGCAGCCAUCUGGCCUAACACUGACGCUGAGGUACGAAAGCAUGGGGAGCAAACAGGAUUAGAUACCCCCGUAGUCCCUGUCUCUUAUAC
Molecule: ribosomal RNA, 301 nt
Filed under: uncultured bacterium
Lineage: Bacteria
Description: partial 16S ribosomal RNA
Rfam family: Bacterial small subunit ribosomal RNA
Source: RNAcentral